This 506-nucleotide ribosomal RNA is filed under the name uncultured bacterium. RNAcentral's name for it is "partial 16S ribosomal RNA". It matches the Rfam family "Bacterial small subunit ribosomal RNA", at positions 30 to 523 of the family's 1533-position model. The record is from RNAcentral.
AUUGAACGCUGGCGACAGGCCUAACACAUGCAAGUCGAACGGUAGCACAGAGGAGCUUGCUCCUUGGGUGACGAGUGGCGGACGGGUGAGUAAUGUCUGGGAAACUGCCCGAUGGAGGGGGAUAACUACUGGAAACGGUAGCUAAUACCGCAUAACGUCGCAAGACCAAAGAGGGGGACCUUCGGGCCUCUUGCCAUCGGAUGUGCCCAGAUGGGAUUAGCUAGUAGGUGGGGUAACGGCUCACCUAGGCGACGAUCCCUAGCUGGUCUGAGAGAGUGAACCGCCACCGUGGAACAGAGACACGGUCCAGACUCCUACGGGGGGCAGCAGUGGGGAAUAUUGCACAAUGGGCGCAAGCCUGAUGCAGCCAUGCCGAGUGUAUGAAGAGGGCCUUCGGGUUGUAAAGUACUUUCAGCGGGGAGGAAGGGGUUAAGGUUAAUAACCUUAGCCAUUGACGUUACCCGCAGAAGAAGCACCGGCUAACUCCGUGCCAGCCGCCGCAGUAA